UUGAACGCUGGCGGCAUGCUUUACACAUGCAAGUCGAACGGCAGCGGGGGCUUCGGCCCGCCGGCGAGUGGCGAACGGGUGAGUAAUACAUCGGAACGUACCCAGUUGUGGGGGAUAGCCCGGCGAAAGCCGGAUUAAUACCGCAUACGCCCUGAGGGGGAAAGCGGGGGACCUUCGGGCCUCGCGCGAUUGGAGCGGCUGAUGUCGGAUUAGCUGGUUGGUGGGGUAAAGGCCUACCAAGGCGACGAUCCGUAGCUGGUCUGAGAGGAUGAUCAGCCACACUGGGACUGAGACACGGCCCAGACUCCUACGGGAGGCAGCAGUGGGGAAUUUUGGACAAUGGGCGCAAGCCUGAUCCAGCCAUGCCGCGUGAGUGAAGAAGGCCUUCGGGUUGUAAAGCUCUUUCAGACGGAAAGAAAUCGGGCGGGUGAAUAGCCUGCCUGGAUGACGGUACUGUCAGAAGAAGCACCGGCUAACUACGU
Molecule: ribosomal RNA, 482 nt
Filed under: uncultured bacterium
Lineage: Bacteria
Description: bacterial SSU rRNA
Rfam family: Bacterial small subunit ribosomal RNA
Source: RNAcentral